Molecule: ribosomal RNA, 230 nt
Filed under: uncultured bacterium
Lineage: Bacteria
Description: partial 16S ribosomal RNA
Rfam family: Bacterial small subunit ribosomal RNA
Source: RNAcentral
GGUAGGUGUAGGCGGGGAGUUUAAGUUCAGUGGUGAAAUCUCCGAGCUCAACUCGGAAACUGCCAUUGAUACUAUUUAUCUUGAAUAUUGUUGAGGUAGGCGGAAUAUGUCAUGUAGCGGUGAAAUGCUUAGAUAUGACAUAGAACACCGAUUGCGAAGGCAGCUUGCUAAACAAUUAUUGACGCUGAGGCACGAAAGCGUGGGGAUCAAACAGGAUUAGAUACCCUGGU